UUGAACGCUGGCGGCAUGCCUAACACAUGCAAGUCGAACGGUUAGCAGGCCUUCGGGCGCUGACGAGUGGCGGACGGGUGAGUAAUACAUAGGAAUCUGCCUUUUAGUGGGGGAUAACCCGGAGAAAUCCGGGCUAAUACCGCAUACGCACUACGGUGGAAAGCAGGGGAUCGCAAGACCUUGCGCUAAUAGAUGAGCCUAUGUCGGAUUAGCUUGUUGGUAGGGUAAUGGCCUACCAAGGCGACGAUCCGUAGCUGGUCUGAGAGGACGACCAGCCACACUGGGACUGAGACACGGCCCAGACUCCUACGGGAGGCAGCAGUGGGGAAUAUUGGACAAUGGGGGCAACCCUGAUCCAGCAAUGCCGCGUGUGUGAAG
Molecule: ribosomal RNA, 378 nt
Filed under: uncultured bacterium
Lineage: Bacteria
Description: bacterial SSU rRNA
Rfam family: Bacterial small subunit ribosomal RNA
Source: RNAcentral